GUCACUGUCUGCAAGUGUUCAGACUGAACAACUGGAACAACUCUGAAGAUCUGGGAAACUACAGCAGCUACAUUCACUACUGCGAGUACUGCAGUACAAACCUGAGAUGAUUUUCAACAUCUCUGUUAUUGCUGGGUUUAUGCAUAUCUGAAUAGUCUGCUGGAUGGAGAUGAUGGUACAGAACCUGGAUCAUAACUGUGCCGGUGAAGCUGAAGAGGACCUGGAAAGAACAACCCCAAACAUGCAGCACACUAUGAAACAUCCAGCUGUGCAAGAUGAGCAGAAACACCACAGCAGGAAAACUCUGACAUGAAGUUUGAGUGUUCCAGCAGGACAGAGACUCAAAAUCAUAGCCACAGGUGAAAUAUUUUCCAGGCCACAAACGCAAGUCCACGUACAUUAAACUCACCACGAUCUUAAAGAAACCUUUUAUUCAACAACACCUGUGUGAGCAUAUUUAGGGUCAAACAUCUGCAUCCACAAACACAUGGCAGGAAACGUGUGCAGCCUUUCUUUAUGACAGUAUAACGCACUCUAAAUGAGUAUGAAUUUAACUGCAUCAGAUUCAUUGUAAGGUGUUUACAGUUUUCUGUUUGUUUUUGUUUUUUGUUUUUAAUUUUUAUGGGCGCUCUCAGGAUUUUAUUUUUAUUGCAUAAAUAAACUGAACAUUGAGCUGCUUUGAGUUUAGGGACUGGUUCUUAUACAGUGCUUUUCUACUCUGAGCACUCAAAGCACUUUACACAACUUUGGCCUCUUUCACACAUUCAGACUCUGUUGGAUGCAGCUUGGUUUUGGUCUUGUCCGAGGAUAUAUGUCAUGCAGACGGGAGCAGACGGGGAUGGAACCUAAACCUUCUGUUUAAUGUUUGCAGUUUUUUACUUCAGCUCUUUUAUCCUUGUGUUGUUUCCUGUGAUGUGCACUCUGUCUACUUUGUCACUUUGAGGCUGUAAAUCUAAUAAAAAAUUAUCUUUGUGUUUUGUUUGCCUGUUUUUAGGUCCUCUAAAUCACUGUGGUCAGUUGUGCUGUACAGACUAUGCAUGCAUGUACCUGUGUUAAAAAUACUCUGUAUACUCUGCUGACUGCUUCAGUAUGAAAAGCAGUGAUGGAUGUUCCAACAAGAUCAUCUUCUGUGUUUUUGUUCCUCCUGCGAGUCACGUACAAUGUUUGUGUCACGAUCCUGGGUCUUAGGACCCAGUGUUUUGAGUUCUAGUUCAUUUUGAUGUUUAUAGUAUGUUUAGCUCAUUAGGCCUCCUAUGUUGAUUUGCUUAUUAGUUCCCCCUUGUGUUUCAACCCAUGUUAAGUCUCCCCUGCCCUUCAUGUCUCUCUGUGCCCCCUCUGUUCUGUUUAUGGUGUGUCUUUGCAUGUUUGAGUUUCUUGUUUUCUGUCACCCUGCAUUGUGCAUUAUGUUCUCAUGGUUGGUCUUUUGUUACUCCCUCUAGUCUAGUCUCUUGUGUUCAAAGCUGAGUAUUUCCCUCUGUGUAUUUUGGUUCUUAGACCUCUGCCUUAUGGUUUGUCUCUGUUUCUUAGUUGCUGUCUCCACUGUGUCUAGUUCGCG
Long non-coding RNA from Astatotilapia calliptera (eastern happy), 1555 nucleotides. NCBI's taxonomy places the organism in Eukaryota, Metazoa, Chordata, Actinopteri, Cichliformes, Cichlidae. The record is from Ensembl.